This 468-nucleotide ribosomal RNA is filed under the name uncultured bacterium. RNAcentral's name for it is "partial 16S ribosomal RNA". It matches the Rfam family "Bacterial small subunit ribosomal RNA", at positions 28 to 507 of the family's 1533-position model. The record is from RNAcentral.
GACGAACGCUGGCGGCGUGCCUAACACAUGCAAGUCGAACGGAAAGGCCCUGUUUUUGUGGGGUGCUCGAGUGGCGACCGGGUGAGUAACACGUGAGUACCCUGCCCUUGCCCUUGGGAUAACUUAAGGAAACUGGGGCUAUUCCCGCCUAGGAGUUCUUGCUGCAUGGUGGGGGUUGGAAAGAUUCGGUGGUUGGGGAUGGACUCGCGCCUUAUCAGCUUGGUGGUUGGGUAGUGGCUUACCAAGGCAUUGACGGGUAGCCGGCCUGAGAGGGUAAGCGGCCACAUUAGGAUUGAGAUGCGGCCCAGACUCCUACGGGACGCAGGGGUGCAGAGUAGUACACUAUAGGCGGAGGCCUGGUGCAACCAAGCCGUGUGGGGGAAGAGAGGCUUGGCGUUGGAAACCACUGUCGCCUGUGACGAGGCGUUAGUGACGGUAACGGGUGAAGAAGCACCGGCUAACUACGUG